UGGGGAAUAUUGGACAAUGGGCGAAAGCCUGAUCCAGCCAUGCCGCGUGUGUGAAGAAGGUCUUCGGAUUGUAAAGCACUUUAAGUUGGGAGGAAGGGCAGUAAGCGAAUACCUUGCUGUUUUGACGUUACCGACAGAAUAAGCACCGGCUAACUCUGUGCCAGCAGCCGCGGUAAUACAGAGGGUGCAAGCGUUAAUCGGAAUUACUGGGCGUAAAGCGCGCGUAGGUGGUUCGUUAAGUCGAAUGUGAAAGCCCCGGGCUCAACCUGGGAACUGCAUCCGAAACUGGCGAGCUAGAGUAGGGCAGAGGGUGGUGGAAUUUCCUGUGUAGCGGUGAAAUGCGUAGAUAUAGGAAGGAACACCAGUGGCGAAGGCGACCACCUGGGCUCAUACUGACACUGAGGUGCGAAAGCGUGGGGAGCAAACAGG
This 429-nucleotide ribosomal RNA is filed under the name Pseudomonadota bacterium. Its description in RNAcentral is "Proteobacteria bacterium partial 16S ribosomal RNA". It matches the Rfam family "Bacterial small subunit ribosomal RNA", at positions 355 to 776 of the family's 1533-position model. The record is from RNAcentral. Lineage: Bacteria; Pseudomonadati; Pseudomonadota.